This 975-nucleotide ribosomal RNA is filed under the name Linocarpon calami. Its description in RNAcentral is "SSU rRNA". It matches the Rfam family "Eukaryotic small subunit ribosomal RNA", at positions 135 to 1129 of the family's 1831-position model. The record is from RNAcentral. Lineage: Eukaryota; Fungi; Ascomycota; Sordariomycetes; Chaetosphaeriales; Linocarpaceae.
ACUACUUGGACAACCGUGGUAAUUUUAGAGCUAAUACAUGCUGAAAGCCCCGACUCCGGGAGGGGCGUGUGUAUUAGAUUCAAAGACAAUGCCCUCUGGGCUCCCUGGUGAUUCAUGAUAACUCUCGAAUCGCACGGUCUUGCGCCGGCGAUGGGGCAUUCAAAUUUCUGCCCUAUCGACUUUCGACGGUUGGGUCUUGGCCAGCCGKGGUGACAACGGGUAACGGAGGGUUAGGGCUCGACCCCGGAGAAGGAGCCUGAGAGACGGCUACUACAUCACAAGGAAGGCAGCAGGCGCGCAAAUUACCCAAUCCCGACGCGGGGAGGUAGUGACAAUACAUACCGAUGCGGGGCUCUUUCGGGUCCCGCAAUUGGAAUGAGAACGAUCCAAACCCCCUAACGAGGAACCAUUGGAGGGCAAGUAUGGUGCCAGCAGCCGCGGUAAUUCCAGCUCCAAUAGCGUAUAUUAAAGUUGUUGAGGUUAAAAAGCUCGUAGUUGAACCUCGGCCCCGGCCGCCCGGUCCGCCUCACCGCGUGCACUGGCCGGCCGGGUCCUCCCUCCCGGGGAGCCGCAUUCCCUUCGCUGGGCGUGCCGGGGAACCGGGGCGUUUACCCUGAACAAAUCGGAUCGCUCCACGAAGGCACACGCUCGGACGCAUUAGCAUGGAAUAAUGGAAUAGGACGCGCGGUUCUGUUUCGUUGGUUUCUAGGGCCGCCGUAAUGAUGAACAGGGACAGUCGGGGGCGUCCGUAUCCCGCCGUCAGAGGUGAAAUUCUUGGAUCGGCGGGAGACGAACUACUGCGAAACCACUCCCCAAGGAUGUUUUCAUUAAUCAGGAACGAAAGUUGGGGGAUCGAAGACGAUCAGAUACCGUCGUAGUCUCAACCAUAAACUAUGCCGACUCGGGAUCGGGCGGUGCUGUAUCCUGGCCCUCCUCGGCCACCCCUCUGCAGAAAUCAAAGUGUUUGGCUCCUGG